Long non-coding RNA from Cygnus olor (mute swan), 467 nucleotides. RefSeq lists it as uncharacterized. The transcript has 3 exons. NCBI's taxonomy places the organism in Eukaryota, Metazoa, Chordata, Aves, Anseriformes, Anatidae. The record is from RefSeq and is a predicted model, not a curated record.
GGGGAAUUUCGAGUGCAAUGUUAUGCCGUUAGGUCUUUAUAAUCCUCCCUGUACGCACUGAAAGGAGUGAGGGUAUCUGCUCUUCAAGUGCAGAGGGGAGAACACAGCAGACACCGGUGUGCAAUGCUGGUGACAGAAGGAGAAUUGUGGCUGUAGACUUGAGUGUGGAAAUUCCUCAACUUCCCAUGUUUGUCACCAUUCUUUGUAAAACAUGACUGAGGAGGAGGCGGCGGAGGUGGAGGAGGAAGAGGAGGUGGUGGAGGACGGUGGUGGAGGAAUGAUAGGAUCAUUAGUGUUGGAGGAGACCUUCAAGUUUGGGCCACAAGUGAAGGCACAGAAAUCCCCAAUUCCUCCGCUGCCCCUCAGGGCAUUGCCUGAGUGCAGGUUCAGUGUUGGGGACAGCAUUUGUAAUUGAGGCAGGGGUUGGCAGGAUCAUCCUGUGUGAGGGACCCAAGACCCCAGCAAGG